UACGUAGGGUGCAAGCGUUGUCCGGAAUUAUUGGGCGUAAAGAGCUCGUAGGCGGUUUGUCGCGUCGAAUGUGAAAACCCGGGGCUCAACCCCGGGCCUGCAUUCGAUACGGGCAGACUAGAGUUCGGUAGGGGAGUCUGGAUUUCCUGGUGUAGCGGUGAAAUGCGCAGAUAUCAGGAGGAACACCGGUGGCGAAGGCGGGACUCUGGGCCGAUACUGACGCUGAAGAGCGAAAGCGUGGGGAGCAAACAGG
RNAcentral lists this ribosomal RNA (253 nucleotides) under uncultured bacterium. RNAcentral describes it as "partial 16S ribosomal RNA". It matches the Rfam family "Bacterial small subunit ribosomal RNA", at positions 524 to 776 of the family's 1533-position model. The record is from RNAcentral.